Molecule: ribosomal RNA, 505 nt
Filed under: uncultured bacterium
Lineage: Bacteria
Description: bacterial SSU rRNA
Rfam family: Bacterial small subunit ribosomal RNA
Source: RNAcentral
CUACGUGCCAGCAGCCGCGGUAAUACGGAAGGUCCAGGCGUUAUCCGGAUUUAUUGGGUUUAAAGGGAGCGUAGGCUGGAGAUUAAGUGUGUUGUGAAAUGUAGACGCUCAACGUCUGAAUUGCAGCGCAUACUGGUUUCCUUGAGUACGCACAACGUUGGCGGAAUUCGUCGUGUAGCGGUGAAAUGCUUAGAUAUGACGAAGAACUCCGAUUGCGAAGGCAGCUGACGGGAGCGCAACUGACGCUUAAGCUCGAAGGUGCGGGUAUCAAACAGGAUUAGAUACCCUGGUAGUCCGCACAGUAAACGAUGGAUGCCCGCUGUUGGUGCCUGGUAUCAGCGGCUAAGCGAAAGCAUUAAGCAUCCCACCUGGGGAGUACGCCGGCAACGGUGAAACUCAAAGGAAUUGACGGGGGCCCGCACAAGCGGAGGAACAUGUGGUUUAAUUCGAUGAUACGCGAGGAACCUUACCCGGGCUUGAAUUGCAGAGGAAGGAUUUAGAGAUA